AUGAACAACUCCAGACGCGCCACCUUAAGAGCUGUAACACUCACCACGAAGGUCUGUAGCUUCACUCCUGAGCCAGUGAGACCACGAACCAACCCAUCAGAAGGAAGAAACUCCGAACACAUCCGAACAUCAGAAGGAACAAACUCCAAACACAUCCGAACAUCAGAAGGAACAAACUCCAGACACGCCACCUUAAGAGCUGUAACACUCACCGCGAGGGUCCGCGGCUUCAUUCUUGAAGUCAGUGAGACCAAGAACCCACCAAUUCCGGACACAAGAUUCCCCUCAGCAUCCACAACAUUCUGCCGAUCGAUGGCCUGCUGGUAUCUGCUGGUGCCUUCUGCAUCUGCUCCUGUAUGGAAACCUCUCAAAGGCUUUCAGAGCUGUGACUGGACAGGAGAGAAGGGGUGGACAUCAUCUUCUGGGAAUUCAAGUAAGAACUGCUCUUUGGGGACCCUUAACUGCAAUCAGAGAAAGAUUGUAACAUGUAGAAAGGAGCUUACAAGACAAAACAACAACAACAACACUCUUACCCAAAAAGAGACCUUCAUUGCCAUCAUCCCUGAAGGCAUUUUUCCAGCUCCUCCUUGAAUACUUUCAGUGUUGAGCCAUUCAUUGUGUCCAGUGGUAGUCAACUCCAAUUUUGGAUGCACUAAAACCUUCUUCUGAAUACUGAAUAAGUCUGGCCAUUUGCCUCUGUUAAUCUAAAUAUACAAACUUCAAAUGGAAACUUUCUCAAUUGUCCCAAGUAUUUAUCUGAUUCUUCUAUGUGUCCCAAUUUUUUACAUAAUACAUAAAAAUAAUUAUAAAAAGUGCUCACUAUUAUAAUUUUUUAUCAAUUCAUCUAUAUUUUCCUUUCUCACAACAGGAGUUUUGAAAAAGAGUCUGAUGUGUACUUCAGGAGUCACCUAGAACAGUGUUGCUCAUCUUCCAUAAAGGAGAAUAAAUAUAUCUGCCCUUGAAGGACUCUCAUCUGUGAAGUGAAAAUUCAUAAAACUUAAAUGGUCCAUAGGAGGGUGAUUUAAAUUUUAUCACACGUGGGCAUCCCCUGACCCCACUGAAAAGUUAAAUGAAAACUACUAUUGUUUGCUGCUUAGUUUCCCUCUGACCAAAACUAGAGAGUAAACUCCUUAAGAGUAGAAGUUGGUUUUAUGGGUUUUUUGUUUAGUAUCAGUAUUUCUCAGUACGUGUACAUAGUAGAACUUCAAUAAAUAAUUAAUUAUAAUUAAAUCUAUUCAUUUCAUGGGGUAGGAAGGUAUUCCUCUUAAUACCUCACUUCCAGAGGUUCAUGUUUUCUCAAAAUAAAUACUUCUGCCCUCUAGCCUGUUCUCCACAUGUGAGGUUAAGGAAAAAUAAAAGGGAAUGUGUGAAAUAUACUCACCCAUGAGGUCAUCUUCAAUGAAUGUUUAUUCAUAAGGGAACCACCCUGUUCUAAGCACCAAACCAUCUCUCCGCUUCCUGUGCCUGAGACAUCAUCAACUCUUUCUUGGAAGAUAUUUCCUGUCCAGUGAGACUAGGACAAUCUAUGUGCUAUCACCAUUCCCCUUCCUUCAAAGAGAAAAUAAAUAAAUACCAACCAACCCACAACACACUGCUAGCCCCAAGCUCAUUCCUAGUGGGUCUUUCAUUCCCUAUCCCCAUGUUUCCCUCAGCUAAUGGAUGCCUUGGAUGACAGACCAUUGGCUUGCCAUGAAACCCCAAAGGGUGGGAACCCUGCUGGCUCAGGAAAUAGGAGAGUUUUCUUUUCCCCUUUCCUGCUGCCAAGGUAAAAUGAACCCCUUUGCCCAGAUAAAUGGGACCAUAGAUAUAUCCUCAUAGGCUAGAAGAGGAGAGUUACAAAAUUUGUAUGGGAAAAAGUACAUAUCUGACAAUGAAAGACAAAUACUUACAUAAAUAAUCUCUACAGGAGAGAGGAAGAAUAGCAUCUCCAAGUUUACACAUAACAUUAAAUGCUUCUUCUGGUUCUCAAAAUGCCAAACAAAUGGGCAUAAACCAGAAAACCUUGCAAAGCAGCUCUGGUGUGGCACAAAAUAUCUGGACUUGAAGUCAGGAGUUCUGGUUUUAAUUAUUCAUUAGCUGUGUGCCCUUGAGCAAAAGUCUGAGGCAACUUGACUGAGACUUGUCUCCUCAUUUGCAAGAUGUAGCAUUUAAUAUGGAUUCAUGGCAAAUGGGUAGCAGCAAGGGUGUUUCGUUACCUCCAGUACUGUUCAGGAGCUGAGGAAGCUGAGGUGUUGAUGCUGAGGAAAUAAACCCAUACACAGGGGUGGUUUUGCAGGAGGAUGAACAAGUCAUCCCAUCGUGGGUGCCAUGUAGUCCAAUGGUAGUGCUUGAAAUUGAACUUACUGUUGAGACAAUGCAGAAGUUCUGGAUGAAUGUGAGGCUAUGGCAUGGCUGAGGAGGGUAAAGAAUGAAAAUCUUGCAAGGGUGAGUCUCACAGCAAGAGGUAGUUUUUAUGUGGGAGUGAAGGAGUAGUGGCUUAGAGAAGGAAAUGCUUCACUGAGAGGAUGUUGAAAACCUCUAACCGAACAAAUACUGAAGUGCAGGGAAUGCAAGCAGUCU
This 2559-nucleotide long non-coding RNA is filed under the name Pan paniscus (pygmy chimpanzee). Its description in RNAcentral is "lncRNA (ENSPPAG00000045459.1)". The record is from RNAcentral. Lineage: Eukaryota; Metazoa; Chordata; Mammalia; Primates; Hominidae.